GCUACGGGGUUUCCCGCCUAAACUAUUUAUUAUUCAAAUGAUAAAUAAAAGUGGGGUAAAAAUUAGAAGAUUAGCAAAAAUAUCAUUGUGAAUAAUAGAAUGGGCAAAGUGGUUUGCAUUAAUAGUUAGAUUCUAGAGCUUUUUUUGUAACAAGAAAAAGCUUAUGAGUAUAUUUUCUUCCUCAUAUUUGGUUAUUUUGUAGUAAAGAAGUCAACUUUAGCUUAAUAAUAUUCACCCAGUUUAGUUAGAUGAAGUACAUUGGAACGAAAAUAGGAGAAACCAUUGAAACCUAAUACAAACAGUAGUCUGUACCUAAUUUAACUACGAUUUAAGCUUAGAUCCGAAUGGAUGAAUAGAAACUAGGGAAUUAAAUCCAAAGUAGUGAUAAGUGAAAAAGGCGUACAGAUUUCUGUACAAGUGAUGGAAGUAGGUAAGAUACAAGAGAAAUGAAAAGGUAAGAAAAAUCUAAGAUUUGGACCUUCCAAAUUCAAAGAGGAUGUUCUAACCUCAUGGAAGAUAAUAAUGAUGUUUAUUUUCAUAGAUACUAAAAAUUGGAUAAAAAA
This 563-nucleotide long non-coding RNA is filed under the name Cryptosporidium parvum. The record is from RNAcentral. Lineage: Eukaryota; Apicomplexa; Conoidasida; Eucoccidiorida; Cryptosporidiidae.